Long non-coding RNA from Mirounga angustirostris (Northern elephant seal), 5570 nucleotides. RefSeq lists it as uncharacterized. The record is from RefSeq and is a predicted model, not a curated record. The transcript is spliced from 2 exons. Lineage: Eukaryota; Metazoa; Chordata; Mammalia; Carnivora; Phocidae.
GUCGCCCAACCAACCGAGCCACCCAGGCGCCCCUCUAAAAUGUUUUUAUGCAGUUGAACUCAUAUUCGAAUAAGCUAGUGUGGAAUUUUAAUGAAAAUUUUCCUUUUACAGGCAAUUCAUUUUAUAGUACAUUUCAUUGGGAGGUAAACUUGUUAAGUAGUAGAAUUUCAUUGUAACAAAUACACCAUUUAAAUUCACAUACUUAGGAUGCAAGAGCUGGGUGUAUUUGCAGAUGAAGUAUAAUAAUCUGGGAAAGACACUGUGGCAGUGAUUGGCUAAUUGUUCACCAAACCUGUUUUCCUUUGUUCCUGCUGAUACAGUUUGGUCUACAUUUCCCAACUUCCUCUGCAGUUAGAUGUAGCUAUGUGACUGUGUCUGGGCAAAAGAAGGAGAGUAAAAGUGAUGUACAUUUCUUCCUUUAGCUGUUUAAAGAGAAAUCUCCCAUAUAGCCUCCAUGCUCUCUUUCAACCCCUGGUGCCAACUGAAUAUUGCAUCCAAAGGGACCAUGGAAACUACAUGUUGAAGAAGAUAAAAUCUCCAACAGUCAGAGAUCCUAAAUGAUAACAGAGUUCAGAAAGCCCCAACCCUACCUUCCUGCUACCUGAACUUUGCAUGAUUAAAAAAUGAACUCUGUUGUUUUAAAUCACCAGGAUUCUAUGAUUUAACUAUUUCAGCAGCUCACAUCACAUUAAAAGAAGAUAUUAAUUUUCUUUCAAGGUGAUACCAAGAACCUAAUUUCAUUCCCAUUCACAUCUUUUCUCAUUUUUCUUCCAUGUAUAUUUGCUGCCAUAAGUGACCAGGCAAUUUGAAUAGAUGAGGAUGUUUGGAGGUUUAUAAAGGAGUGAGGGGAUUGAAGAUGCGUGAGGUAAGAGAGAGGACUUGAAGGAUAUAAUUGUUUCCUAUUCUCCGUAUAAGAUAACCAUCACUCCCCCUGUGUCUGGCCCAGGCAUUCAUUUCAAAGAUUCACACUCCUGCAAGCUGUUUCUUUCCACCUGCUAAUGGCAUACCCAUUGCAAAGCAUAAUUUGUGAAAACUUUGAUCACCAUUCCCUUCCUUACCGAGUUUAACAUUCACAUAUAAUCAAACUUACACCCUGGGAUGCAAACUAACCAUAACAUUAAAAGUGAAUAGAACAGGGCGCCUGGGUGGCUCCAUUGGUUAAGCGACUGCCUUCGGCUCAGGUCAUGAUCCUGGAGUCCCUGGAUCGAGUCCCGCAUCGGGCUUCCUGCUCGGCAGGGAGUCUGCUUCGUCCUCUGACCCUAUCCCCUCUCAGGUGUUCUCUCUCUCUCAUUCUCUCUCAAAUAAAUAAAUAAAAUCUUUAAAAAAAAAAAAAGUGAAUAGAACACCACUGGAUAUCUUUUCUUUUUUAUGGAUCUGAUAAUAGGUGACCGAGGAUCUCUCAUGGUAAACAGUUUUGGGAAAGAUGCAAAAUGUGUCAGAAGAAGGGCCUAUCUCUGAUAGGGCAUGUUGAGAUUGUAGCAUACCCCUUAGAAUCUUUGGCCAAUAGAUUAGCCAAUUAGAGAUACUCUUACAUUGUUUUCUUAUUACUUCUCAGUCUGUUUGCCUUGCUAGACCUUCAUGAUUCCUUCCCUUGAGAGCAAGUAGAAGGUAAAUUCACUUCCCUAUGCUGAAUAUCCAUUAUAAUUCCUGAUACAUUGGAAUUGUAAGUGCUUAGAACUUCUUGGUUGAAAACCAAAUGAUUGUCGGGGCGCCUGGGUGGCUCAGUCGUUAAGCGUCUGCCUUCGGCUCAGGUCAUGAUCCCAGGGUCCUGGGAUCGAGCCCCGCAUUGGGCUCCCUGCUCUGCGGGAAGCCUGCUUCUCCCUCUCCCUCCCCCCCGCUGCUUGUGUUCCCUCUCUCACUGUGUCUCUCUCUGUCAAAUAAAUAAAUAAAAUCUUAAAAAAAAGAAAACCAAAUGAUCGCUGAAAGUAGUAUGGUAUGUGUCUGUCUGAUAUGAAAAGUGUUCCUUGUAUUAUGCAUCUUCUGCAUUAUUUCUUUUUACCCACAUCAGUAAUGUGCCUUUAAGAUAUAGAUCAUUAUCUGGCAAUUGAAAAUAUUUUUAUGAAAAACCUUAUUAUGAUAAUGUUUGUUGUAAGGAAUUUAUCUAAAUUUAUAUCCCCUUUGUUUGAUGAAUAUCUUCAGUUGUGUACUCUAAACAAAACUAUUAGAUUAUUCUUUUGAUUGUUAGAGUUUAUAAUUUUGCAAGAAUUAGGCAAAUAGCAGACACACACAGGGACAGAUUGGACAGACUCCCUCCCUCCCCCACAGGAGCUUUAAAGGAAUACAUUCUGGCCCUGUGGACGACUGGCUCCUCUUCAAUCCAGUGGCAUAUGGCUAGGCUUGAGCAAACAGAUGUCUGUACCUAAUCAGGCAUUUAUUGUCUCAGUUCAGGUGCUAGGCCAGGCUGAUGUUUACAGCUGUGCUGUGGUUGAAAUUUUAAAGCCAUAGCAGUUUAUUCUCUGAAUCCAGUGCAUCUCUAAACUGUGGCAUUGUUGGCUUCUGGAAUUAUUUUCUUUUCCAAUCUAUAAGAUGAUGGUAAAACUUUAUUCUCACAGGGAUUGUGAUAAGCAAAGUGAAAUUCAGUUCUAAAUUGUCAUAAGUGAAAUUUAAAAAGCUUUUUGUCUAUGUGGUCUUAGGUGGCAGAAGUAAAAUUAUAAGUAAGCCCCAAUUUCUUCUAGGUACAUUAUUGCCUAGCUUUAGUAAAUGGAUGGUUCCUUUAUAGAAGUGGGUAUAUCAAUCACUUUGACCCCUUGGGAGGCUAGCACUAGGUGCUAUUUGAUAUAACUCUUCCCAAGGAAUUUCUAGCUGGCUGGACUAAAUUUGCCUUUGGUGGUAUAGCAUAUGGACUUUUGUCUUGGUAGUGAUUACAUUUAAAUAUACAGGAAAAGCAUGUAAUACAAUAAAACAAGCAUAUCUACCUUGGAAGUCAAAGAGAACCUGGGGCAGAAUGCAUGAUGUUUGAUACUCAGAACUGAGGAAAACUUAACCACUGUACUAGUCAGGCCAAAUCUAGGAAUAUCUGUAUACCCAGAGGCCUUUUUUUUCCCCCUAAGGGAUCCUACCUGUAACACCUUACUGAGGAUAUAACCCAAGGCACAACUCUAGGUGGCCAUGUUCUGUAUGACCUUGCCAUCUGCAUUUGCCCUAAAGCAGUCAGGCUUUGGGGAGUCUGACCCUUUAAAUGGCCCAGCACAAGUACUUUAUAUAUCCAACUCAUAAUGAUGACAUGAGUCACUAGAAGCCGUGAGUAAGCAAGAGUGAUAUAUAAGUAAGAGCCAAGUCAUGAGAUUUUCAAAAAGUGUGUGCGUGGGGCUGCAGAGAUUUUACUUCAUAUCUGCAGGGGAAGAGGAUGAUCAACAAAUUACUGCUGCCAAAGGCCUAAGGAACUAUAACCAGAUUUUUACACAUCUGUCUAAUCCUGGACAACUUGAAAUUGCAACUUGAAAUUCUCAGCCUGUGUUCCUAUACUUCGCGUGAGGCCUGGUUAAGCUGCUUUCCAUGAAUUACCAUGAGGCCUAGCCACAUGGCAUACCUUGUUCCUUGUUUUCACGUGAAGCCUAUGAUAAUGCCCCCUAGAUACUCUUCUCACACACACACAACCACAAACAGUUACGGGAGAUAACUUGAGUCUCUAUUCUUUGCAGCCAAAGGAUCCUAAUUUAUACAACUGCCCUGUGAGUUCAACUCUUAUUAUUUUGGCUGUGGCAACCGAGGCAAGGACUGAUGAACAGUAGCAGUUUUAUGUGCAUGUCAAGAGUGUACAGACUUUGAACAGGAAAGGCAACUUACCUCUAAUUGUUUAAGAAAGCUAACGUGAUACAGGGAGGACCCAGAGAAUGAUGGAUAAUGCUGAUGACAUGACAUGACAUUUGAGGAGACUACAUGGAAAUGUUUAUUGAGCAAAAAAGAAGUAUAGGAACAAUAUUUUUUUUUUCUUUCUGCUAAAGUAUGAGUUCCUGAGGCAUCCAUCUUGGUAUGUCUCACCAAUGCCCAGGAGGGGGCUUUGUACACAGUAGGUAGAACGCCAAAUUGAUAAUGUGGCCCAGCCAUUGGUUUGUCUUGUUUAGCAUCAGCUUUGAAUUAGCUGGUAAAAAUAUGCUUUUAGGCAGACUGAACUGUAAACUGAAGAGAGAGACAUGAGUCAGAAACAAGAGUAGGAUUUCCAGAAGCUUCUGGGGGAGGUAGAUAUAGACAGUGCAAAAAUAGCCUAGGAACUACAUGAGCAAAUUUCAGAGAGCCAGAUAAGAAACUGCCUUCCUCACUCAGGGUACUAAGGACCAGAACAUACCGUUAUCAGGAACACCUAUAGCACAUAGGAGAGCAUGGCCUUUGGCCAGAGAGCAGGGAAUAGGUAGUGAAGGAGAACUGGCAAAAAACAAAUUCUAGAUUCUAGAAUCUAGAACAUAUCUGAUGGCAUUAUCUCCCUUCUGUCUCACAAAUCUUCCAACUGCACUAGGAGAACAAAAAGGAGAAACAUGAGCCCCAUCUUUAAAGAAACUAGGAGACACGCAACCCCAAACCACAGUAUGCAAUGAGGAACAGACAAAUGCAGUUGAAGAAGGAUAUCUACAGCUACAGAUCUCAGACAAACCAGUAAUGCCCAGUGUAGACUAAUGGGAGUGGGUGCGUGGGGUGGCAGCAAGAGCUUCCUUGGCCCUGAAUAGGCAGAAAGAGGAAGCGGGGUAAUGGGCUGAAUGGAGAAUCACACAGACAAGAUUGAAAACAUGGGCAAAAGCUUACCGGGAAAACACAAUAAAGUAGGAUUGCAUCUUUAAUAUCAGACAUGAUUGAAUUUGGAGGAAAAAGCUUGAAAUAAGGCAAAGAAGGAUGAUUCAUAAUAGCAGUAUACCACUACCAUUUAUAAAGCAAAAACUGCAGAAAAUAUGAAGAGAAAUAGUUACAUGAUAGUAGUAAGAAAACAUUAAUUCACUUCUCUCAGUUCAAGUGAUCAGGUAGACAAGAAAUAAGAAAAAGAAAACCGAAAUAAAAAUCAUGAAUAAAGGUACUCCUGGGUGGCUCAGUUGGUUAAGUGUCUGCCUUUGGCUCAGGUCAUGAUCUCAGGGUCCUGGGAUCGAGUCCCACGUUGGGCUCCCUGCUCGAUAGGGAGUGGGCUUCUCCUUCUGCCCUUCCCCCUGCUGUGCUUGUGCUCUCUCUCUUUAUCUCUCUCUCAAAAAUAAAUAAAAUCUUUAAAAAAUAAUAAUUAAUAAAGCAACUAUUUGUCACUUUGUAUUCUGAAAGCUAAUAGGCCUUAUUAAAUGCUGAAUAAAACAUUCACAAAAGUAGAUCCUAAAGGGAAUUCAAUGAAUUUCAGAAGGUGAAAGGAAUACAUAUAGCACUCUCUAAUUUUGUUGCAAUAAAACUAAAAAUUAAGAAAAGAAUUUUUUAAUUGGGAUGCCUGGGUGGCUCAGUCCUCAAGCGUCUGCCUUUGGCUCAGGUCAUGAUCCCAGGGUCCUGGGAUUGAGCCCCGUCGGGCUCCCUGCUCAGCGGGAGGCCUGUGUUUCCCUCUCCCACUACCCCUGCUUGUGUUCCCUCUUCCGCUGUGUCUCUCUGUGUCAAAUAAAUAAAAAAUAAAA